UGCCAAUACGUGUAUUUGUGGCUGCUUUUUAGUAUAUAUAUUGAGAUACUUUUAAGUUUCCGUUACAAGAAAAUUUGACGAUUCCAACUUACUUCAAAGGUCGAGAUCAUCUUAAGACAAACAUGUAUAUGUAUCAGACUAUUGUCUUGGUUCUUGCCAUUUUACAAAUUAGCUCAGCAGCGAAUUGCGCAUUUGAUCAGUGUGGAGACAACGGCUAUCGCAUCCAAUGUAAUCCUGGCUAUAGACCAGUCUAUGAAACAUGCACUUGCUGCAUUAAAUGUGAAAAAGUUUUAGGUGAAGGGGAAAGUUGCCAAGUAAAAGCGCGUCAGGAUGAAAUUAACAAUGGAUACGGAAUAAUCUAUGAAAAUUUUAGCUAUCCUCAAUGUAGACAAGGUCUAUAUUGCGAUCCAAAUUCCAAAACAUGCAAAAGAAGCAGUGGUUAAUUAUUCUACGUAGUUUCUGUUUGAUUUGGAUUUCUUAGAAUCCUAUAAAUUUAAAAUUAUUCUUCUGUUGGUUGAAUUAAAUUAAUGUUUCAAAACCUC
This is a long non-coding RNA of Parasteatoda tepidariorum (common house spider), 542 nucleotides long. NCBI's taxonomy places the organism in Eukaryota, Metazoa, Arthropoda, Arachnida, Araneae, Theridiidae. The record is from RefSeq and is a predicted model, not a curated record.